UAGGGAAUCUUCCGCAAUGGACGCAAGUCUGAUGGAGCAACGCCGCGUGAGUGAAGAAGGUUUUCGGAUCGUAAAGCUCUGUUGUUGGUGAAGAAGGAUAGAGGCAGUAACUGGUCUUUAUUUGACGGUAAUCAACCAGAAAGUCACGGCUAACUACGUGCCAGCAGCCGCGGUAAUACGUAGGUGGCAAGCGUUGUCCGGAUUUAUUGGGCGUAAAGCGAGCGCAGGCGGAAUGAUAAGUCUGAUGUGAAAGCCCACGGCUCAACCGUGGAACUGCAUCGGAAACUGUCAUUCUUGAGUGCAGAAGAGGAGAGUGGAAUUCCAUGUGUAGCGGUGGAAUGCGUAGAUAUAUGGAAGAACACCAGUGGCGAAGGCGGCUCUCUGGUCUGCAACUGACGCUGAGGCUCGAAAGCAUGGGUAGCGAACAGG
This 429-nucleotide ribosomal RNA is filed under the name bacterium. Its description in RNAcentral is "partial 16S ribosomal RNA". It matches the Rfam family "Bacterial small subunit ribosomal RNA", at positions 355 to 776 of the family's 1533-position model. The record is from RNAcentral.